GACGAACGCUGGCGGCGUGCUUAACACAUGCAAGUCGAACGGAAAGGCCCUGCUUUUGUGGGGUGCUCGAGUGGCGAACGGGUGAGUAACACGUUAGUAACCUUCCCUUUACUUUGGGAUAACUUCAGGAAACUGGGGCUAAUACCGGAUAGGAGCUCCUGCUGCAUGGUGGGGGUUGGAAAGUUUCGGCGGUUGGGGAUGGACUCGCGGCUUAUCAGCUUGUUGGUGGGGUAGUGGCUUACCAAGGCUUUGACGGGUAGCCGGCCUGAGAGGGUGACCGGCCACAUGGGGACUGAGAUACGGCCCAGAAUCGUAGGGGAGGCAGCAGUGGGGAGUAUGGCACAGUGGGCGGAAGCCAGAGGCAGCAACGCCGCGUGCGGGAUGACGGCCUUCGGGUUAUAAACCGCUAACGCCUGUGACGAAGCGUGAGUGACGGUAAUGGGUAAAGAAGCAACGGCUAACUACGUG
RNAcentral lists this ribosomal RNA (468 nucleotides) under uncultured bacterium. RNAcentral's name for it is "partial 16S ribosomal RNA". It matches the Rfam family "Bacterial small subunit ribosomal RNA", at positions 28 to 507 of the family's 1533-position model. The record is from RNAcentral.